Molecule: ribosomal RNA, 440 nt
Filed under: uncultured bacterium
Lineage: Bacteria
Description: partial 16S ribosomal RNA
Rfam family: Bacterial small subunit ribosomal RNA
Source: RNAcentral
CCUACGGGAGGCAGCAGUAGGGAAUAUUGCUCAAUGGGGGAAACCCUGAAGCAGCAACGCCGCGUGGAGGAUGAAGGUUUUCGGAUUGUAAACUCCUUUUGUUAGAGAAGAUAAUGACGGUAUCUAACGAAUAAGCACCGGCUAACUCCGUGCCAGCAGCCGCGGUAAUACGGAGGGUGCAAGCGUUACUCGGAUUCACUGGGCGUAAAGAGCGCGUAGGCGGGAUAGCAAGUCAGAUGUGAAAUCCUAGGGCUUAACCAUAGGACUGCAUUUGAAACUGUUAUUCUAGAGUAUGGGAGAGGUAGGUGGAAUUCUUGGUGUAGGGGUAAAAUCCGUAGAGAUCAAGAGGAAUACUCAUUGCGAAGGCGACCUGCUAGAACAUAACUGACGCUGAUGCGCGAAAGCGUGGGGAGCAAACAGGAUUAGAUACCCGUGUAGUC